RNAcentral lists this ribosomal RNA (301 nucleotides) under uncultured bacterium. RNAcentral's name for it is "partial 16S ribosomal RNA". It matches the Rfam family "Bacterial small subunit ribosomal RNA", at positions 509 to 807 of the family's 1533-position model. The record is from RNAcentral.
CAGUCGCCGCGGGAAUACGUAGGGUGCAAGCGUUAAUCGGAAUUACUGGGCGUAAAGCGCACGUAGGCGGACUUUUAAGUCAGGGGUGAAAUCCCGGGGCUCAACCCCGGAACUGCCUUUGAUACUGGGAGUCUUGAGUUCGAGAGAGGUGAGUGGAAUUGCGAGUGUAGAGGUGAAAUUCGUAGAUAUUCGCAGGAACACCAGUGGCGAAGGCGGCUCACUGGCUCGAUACUGGCGCUGAGGUGCGAAAGCGUGGGGAGCAAACAGGAUUAGAUACCCCCGUAGUCCCUGUCUCUUAUAC